RNAcentral lists this ribosomal RNA (253 nucleotides) under uncultured bacterium. Its description in RNAcentral is "partial 16S ribosomal RNA". It matches the Rfam family "Bacterial small subunit ribosomal RNA", at positions 524 to 776 of the family's 1533-position model. The record is from RNAcentral.
UACAGAGGGGGCAAGCGUUGUUCGGAAUUACUGGGCGUAAAGGGCGCGUAGGCGGCCAACUAAGUCAGACGUGAAAUCCCACGGCUCAACCGUGGAACUGCGUCUGAUACUGGAUGGCUUGAAUCCGGGAGAGGGAUGUGGAAUUCCAGGUGUAGCGGUGAAAUGCGUAGAUAUCAGGAGGAACACCAGUGGUGAAGGCGGCGUUCUGGGCGGUUACUGACGCUGAGGCGCGAAAGCGUGGGUAGCAAACAGG